RNAcentral lists this transfer RNA (67 nucleotides) under uncultured Spiribacter sp. It matches the Rfam family "tRNA", at positions 5 to 66 of the family's 71-position model. From Rfam's summary of the family: Transfer RNA (tRNA) molecules are approximately 80 nucleotides in length. Their secondary structure includes four short double-helical elements and three loops (D, anti-codon, and T loops). Lineage: Bacteria; Pseudomonadati; Pseudomonadota; Gammaproteobacteria; Chromatiales; Ectothiorhodospiraceae. The record is from RNAcentral.
CGGUAGCUCAGCCGGAUAGAGCGAUCGCCUCCUAAGCGAUAGGUCGCAGGUUCGAAUCCUGCCCGGG